RNAcentral lists this ribosomal RNA (673 nucleotides) under uncultured Pseudomonadota bacterium. Its description in RNAcentral is "bacterial SSU rRNA". It matches the Rfam family "Bacterial small subunit ribosomal RNA", at positions 62 to 724 of the family's 1533-position model. Lineage: Bacteria; Pseudomonadati; Pseudomonadota. The record is from RNAcentral.
UCGAACGGUAACAGGAAGAAGCUUGCUUCUUUGCUGACGAGUGGCGGACGGGUGAGUAAUGUCUGGGAAACUGCCUGAUGGAGGGGGAUAACUACUGGAAACGGUAGCUAAUACCGCAUAACGUCGCAAGACCAAAGAGGGGGACCUUCGGGCCUCUUGCCAUCGGAUGUGCCCAGAUGGGAUUAGCUAGUAGGUGGGGUAACGGCUCACCUAGGCGACGAUCCCUAGCUGGUCUGAGAGGAUGACCAGCCACACUGGAACUGAGACACGGUCCAGACUCCUACGGGAGGCAGCAGUGGGGAAUAUUGCACAAUGGGCGCAAGCCUGAUGCAGCCAUGCCGCGUGUAUGAAGAAGGCCUUCGGGUUGUAAAGUACUUUCAGCGGGGAGGAAGGGAGUAAAGUUAAUACCUUUGCUCAUUGACGUUACCCGCAGAAGAAGCACCGGCUAACUCCGUGCCAGCAGCCGCGGUAAUACGGAGGGUGCAAGCGUUAAUCGGAAUUACUGGGCGUAAAGCGCACGCAGGCGGUUUGUUAAGUCAGAUGUGAAAUCCCCGGGCUCAACCUGGGAACUGCAUCUGAUACUGGCAAGCUUGAGUCUCGUAGAGGGGGGUAGAAUUCCAGGUGUAGCGGUGAAAUGCGUAGAGAUCUGGAGGAAUACCGGUGGCGAAGGCGG